Molecule: ribosomal RNA, 348 nt
Filed under: uncultured bacterium
Lineage: Bacteria
Description: bacterial SSU rRNA
Rfam family: Bacterial small subunit ribosomal RNA
Source: RNAcentral
GACGAACGCUGGCGGCGUGCUUAACACAUGCAAGUCGAACGAGGUCCACCGCGUAGCAAUACAAGGGAAGACCUAGUGGCGAACGGGUGCGUAACACGUGAGGAACUUGUCCCGGUCUCUGGGAUAACAGUUGGAAACGACUGCUAAUACCGGAUGACGUCGGAAUCUCGCAUGGGAUACUGACGAAAGGGUUACUGGAUCGGGAGAGCCUCGCGGCCUAUCAGCUUGUUGGUGAGGUAACGGCUCACCAAGGCAUCGACGGGUAGGCUGGUCUGAGAGGAUGAUCAGCCACACUGGGACUGAGACACGGCCCAGACUCCUACGGAGGCGAGCAGUGGGGAAGUACUU